UGGGGAAUUUUGGACAAUGGGGGAAACCCUGAUCCAGCCAUGCCGCGUGCGGGAAGAAGGCCUUCGGGUUGUAAACCGCUUUUGUCCGGGAAGAAAUGACCUCCCCUAAUACGGGGGGUUCCUGACGGUACCGGAAGAAUAAGCACCGGCUAACUACGUGCCAGCAGCCGCGGUAAUACGUAGGGUGCGAGCGUUAAUCGGAAUUACUGGGCGUAAAGCGUGCGCAGGCGGUUCGCUAAGUCUGAUGUGAAAGCCCCGGGCUCAACCUGGGAAUGGCAUUGGAAACUGGCGGGCUUGAGUGUGGCAGAGGGGGGUGGAAUUCCACGUGUAGCAGUGAAAUGCGUAGAGAUGUGGAGGAACACCGAUGGCGAAGGCAGCCCCCUGGGCUAACACUGACGCUCAGGCACGAAAGCGUGGGGAGCAAACAGAAUUAGAUACCCUGGUAGUCCACGCUGUAAACGAUGGGCACUAGGUGUGGGGGGUAUCCACUCCUCCCGUGCCGCAGCUAACGCACUAAGUGCCCCGCCUGGGGAGUACGGCCGCAAGGCUA
RNAcentral lists this ribosomal RNA (550 nucleotides) under uncultured bacterium. RNAcentral describes it as "bacterial SSU rRNA". It matches the Rfam family "Bacterial small subunit ribosomal RNA", at positions 355 to 896 of the family's 1533-position model. The record is from RNAcentral.